This 421-nucleotide ribosomal RNA is filed under the name uncultured bacterium. RNAcentral's name for it is "partial 16S ribosomal RNA". It matches the Rfam family "Bacterial small subunit ribosomal RNA", at positions 360 to 773 of the family's 1533-position model. The record is from RNAcentral.
AAUUUUGGACAAUGGGGGAAACCCUGAUCCAGCCAUCCCGCGUGUAUGAUGAAGGCCUUCGGAUUGUAAAGCACUUUAAGUUGGGAGGAAGGGCAAUAAGUUAAUACCUUGCUGUUUUGACGUUACCGACAGAAUAAGCACCGGAUAACUUCGUGCCAGCAGCCGCGGUAAUACGAAGGGGGCAAGCGUUAAUCGGAAUUACUGGGCGUAAAGCGCGGGUAGGGGGUUUGUUAAAUUGGAAAGGAAAGCCCCGGGCUCAACCUGGGAACUGCUUUCAAAACUGGCAAGCUAGAGUAUGGCAGAGGGUGGUGGAAUUUCCUGUGUAGCGGUGAAAUGCGUAGAUAUAGGAAGGAACACCAGUGGCGAAGGCGACUACCUGGACUGAUACUGACACUGAGGUGCGAAAGCGUGGGGAGCAAAC